This 99-nucleotide ribosomal RNA is filed under the name Castor canadensis (American beaver). The record is from RNAcentral. Lineage: Eukaryota; Metazoa; Chordata; Mammalia; Rodentia; Castoridae.
GUCUACGGCCAUACCACCCUGAUCUCGUCUGAUCUCGGAAGCUAAGCAGGGUCGGGCCUGGUUAGUACUUGGAUGGGAGACAAGUAAGAGCCAAACACA